RNAcentral lists this ribosomal RNA (497 nucleotides) under uncultured bacterium. RNAcentral describes it as "partial 16S ribosomal RNA". It matches the Rfam family "Bacterial small subunit ribosomal RNA", at positions 28 to 507 of the family's 1533-position model. The record is from RNAcentral.
GAUGAACGCUGGCGGCGUGCCUAAUACAUGCAAGUCGAGCGAACGGACGAGAAGCUUGCUUCUCGGAUGUUAGCGGCGGACGGGUGAGUAAUACGUGGAUAACCUACCUAUAAGACUGGGAUAACUUCGGGAAACCGGAGCUAAUACCGGAUACUAUUUGUAACCGCAUGGUUCAAUAUUGAAAGACGGUUUUGCUGUCACUUAUAGAUGGAUCCGCGCUGCAUUAGCUAGUUGGUAAGGUAACGGCUUACCAAGGCAACGAUGCAUAGCCGACCUGAGAGGGUGAUAGCCCACACUGGAACUGAGACAGGGUCCAGACUCCUACGGGAGGCAGCAGUAGGGAAUCUUCCGCAGUGGUCGAAAGCAUGACGGAGCAACGCGGCGUGAGUGAUGAAGGUCUUCGGAGCGUAAAACUCUGCUAUUAGGGAAGAACAUAUGUGUAAGUAAAUGUGCACAUCUUGACGGUACCUAAUCAGAAAGCCACGGCUAACUACGUG